Molecule: ribosomal RNA, 549 nt
Filed under: uncultured bacterium
Lineage: Bacteria
Description: partial 16S ribosomal RNA
Rfam family: Bacterial small subunit ribosomal RNA
Source: RNAcentral
UGGGGAAUAUUGCACAAUGGGCGCAAGCCUGAUGCAGCCAUGCCGCGUGUGUGAAGAAGGCCUUCGGGUUGUAAAGCACUUUCAGCGAGGAGGAAGGUGGUGAGCUUAAUACGCUCAUCAAUUGACGUUACUCGCAGAAGAAGCACCGGCUAACUCCGUGCCAGCAGCCGCGGUAAUACGGAGGGUGCAAGCGUUAAUCGGAAUUACUGGGCGUAAAGCGCACGCAGGCGGUUUGUUAAGUCAGAUGUGAAAUCCCCGGGCUCAACCUGGGAACUGCAUUUGAAACUGGCAAGCUAGAGUCUCGUAGAGGGGGGUAGAAUUCCAGGUGUAGCGGUGAAAUGCGUAGAGAUCUGGAGGAGUACCGGUGGCGAAGGCGGCCCCCUGGACGAAGACUGACGCUCAGGUGCGAAAGCGUGGGGCAGCAAACAGGAUUAGAUACCCUGGUAGUCCACGCUGUAAACGAUGUCGAUUUUGGAGUUGUGCCCUUGAGGCGUGGCUUCCGGAGCUAACGCGUUAAAUCGACCGCCUGGGGAGUACGGCCGCAAGGUU